GGAGUCUGGGCCGUGUCUCAGUCCCAAUGUGGCCGGUCAUCCUCUCAGAUCGGCUACCGAUCGUCGCCUUGGUGAGCCGUUACCUCCCCAACCAGCUAAUCGGACGCAGACCCAUCGUAAAGCGAUAGCUUAUUAAUAGAGGCCAUCUUUAACAUUACCUUCAUGCGAAAAUACUGCAACAUUUGGUAUUAGCAGCUCUUUCGAGCUGUUGUCCCAAUCUUUACGGCAGGUUGUCUACGCGUUACUCACCCGUUUGCCACUAGACUUUUUGGAGCAAGCUCCAAAAAGUCCCGUUCGACUUGCAUGUGUUAAGCACGCCGCCAGCGUCGUCCUGAGCCACGGAGUCAAACUACU
Molecule: ribosomal RNA, 354 nt
Filed under: uncultured Veillonellaceae bacterium
Lineage: Bacteria; Bacillati; Bacillota; Negativicutes; Veillonellales; Veillonellaceae
Description: partial 16S ribosomal RNA
Source: RNAcentral